RNAcentral lists this ribosomal RNA (1054 nucleotides) under uncultured bacterium. RNAcentral describes it as "bacterial SSU rRNA". It matches the Rfam family "Bacterial small subunit ribosomal RNA", at positions 343 to 1400 of the family's 1533-position model. The record is from RNAcentral.
GGGAGGCAGCAGUAGGGAAUCUUCCACAAUGGACGAAAGUCUGAUGGAGCAACGCCGCGUGAACGAUGAAGGCCCUCGGGUCGUAAAGUUCUGUUGUAAGGGAAGAACAAGUGCCGCAGGCAAUGGCGGCACCUUGACGGUACCUUGCGAGAAAGCCACGGCUAACUACGUGCCAGCAGCCGCGGUAAUACGUAGGUGGCAAGCGUUGUCCGGAAUUAUUGGGCGUAAAGGGUGCGUAGGCGGUUUAUUAAGUCUAUGGUGAAAGUGCGGGGCUCAACCCCGUAUGGCCAUAGAAACUAGUAGACUUGAGUGCAGGAGAGGGCAAUGGAAUUCCAUGUGUAGCGGUAAAAUGCGUAGAUAUAUGGAGGAACACCAGUGGCGAAGGCGGUUGCCUGGCCUGUAACUGACGCUGAGGCACGAAAGCGAGGGAAACAAACUAGGAUUAGAUUCCCUAGUAGUUCACGCUAUAAUAAAGGAAUACUAAGUGUGGGAGAAAAUUCAGUGCUGCAGUUAACGCAAUAAGUAUUCCGCCUGGGGAGUAUGCACCGCAAGUGUGAAACUCAAAGGAAUUGACGGGACCCCGCACAAGCGGUGGAUUAUGUUGUUUAAUUCGACGCAACGCGAAGAACCUUACCAGGCCUUGACAUACUCGGCAAAGCUCUAGAGAUAGAGCGGAGGUUAUCCGGGAUACAGGUGGUGCAUGGUUGUCGUCAGCUCGUGUCGUGAGAUGUUGGGUUAAGUCCCGCAACGAGCGCAACCCUUGUCUUUAGUUACCAUCAUUAAGUUGGGGACUCUAGAGAGACUGCCGGUGAUAAACCGGAGGAAGGUGGGGAUGACGUCAAAUCAUCAUGCCCCUUAUGGCCUGGGCUACAAACGUAAUACAAUGGCGUAUACAAAGGGAUGCGAAAGGGCGACCUGGAGCAAAACUCACAAAGUACGUCUCAGUUCAGAUUGGAGUCUGCAACUCGACUCCAUGAAGGCGGAAUCGCUAGUAAUCGCGGAUCAGCAUGCCGCGGUGAAUACGUUCUCGGGGUUUGCAAACGCCCCCCGUCAA